GGUUAAGCGACUAAGCGUACACGGUGGAUGCCCUGGCAGUCAGAGGCGAUGAAGGACGUGCUAAUCUGCGAUAAGCGUCGGUAAGGUGAUAUGAACCGUUAUAACCGGCGAUUUCCGAAUGGGGAAACCCAGUGUGUUUCGACACACUAUCAUU
This 154-nucleotide ribosomal RNA is filed under the name Citrobacter freundii. RNAcentral describes it as "partial 23S ribosomal RNA". It matches the Rfam family "Bacterial large subunit ribosomal RNA", at positions 1 to 155 of the family's 2925-position model. The record is from RNAcentral. RNAcentral also lists the same sequence under 2 other names. Lineage: Bacteria; Pseudomonadati; Pseudomonadota; Gammaproteobacteria; Enterobacterales; Enterobacteriaceae.